Molecule: transfer RNA, 86 nt
Filed under: Prasinococcus sp. CCMP1194
Lineage: Eukaryota; Viridiplantae; Prasinodermophyta; Palmophyllophyceae; Prasinococcales; Prasinococcaceae
Description: tRNA-Leu
Rfam family: tRNA
About the family: Transfer RNA (tRNA) molecules are approximately 80 nucleotides in length. Their secondary structure includes four short double-helical elements and three loops (D, anti-codon, and T loops).
Source: RNAcentral
GGUGAUGUGGCGGAAUCGGUAGACGCUGUAGAUUUAAAAUCUGUUGAUUUUUUUGAAUCGUGAGGGUUCAAGUCCCUCCAUCACCA